This is a long non-coding RNA of Rhagoletis zephyria (snowberry fruit fly), 104 nucleotides long. RefSeq lists it as uncharacterized. The record is from RefSeq and is a predicted model, not a curated record. Lineage: Eukaryota; Metazoa; Arthropoda; Insecta; Diptera; Tephritidae.
UUUACUCUGUAAAUAAGAAAAAUGCGAUUUAAAUUGGUAAAAUAUCGAUUCAAACUAGUUUUUAUUUUUGUUUUUCUUUUUUAGCAUCAAACUAAACGAAUCAC